Molecule: ribosomal RNA, 254 nt
Filed under: uncultured bacterium
Lineage: Bacteria
Description: partial 16S ribosomal RNA
Rfam family: Bacterial small subunit ribosomal RNA
Source: RNAcentral
UACGUAGGGUGCAAGCGUUGUCCGGAUUCAUUGGGCGUAAAGAGCUCGUAGGCGGCUUGCUAAGUCAGGUGUGAAACCUCCAGGCUCAACCUGGAGCCGCCACCUGAUACUGGUAUGGCUCGAGUCCGGUAGGGGACCACGGAAUUCCUGGUGUAGCGGUGAAAUGCGUAGAUAUCAGGAGGAACACCGGUGGUGUAGACGGCUUUCUGGACCGUAACUGACGCUGAGACACGAAAGCGUGGGUAGCAAACAGG